RNAcentral lists this long non-coding RNA (440 nucleotides) under Camelus dromedarius (Arabian camel). Its description in RNAcentral is "lncRNA (ENSCDRG00005008850.1)". Lineage: Eukaryota; Metazoa; Chordata; Mammalia; Artiodactyla; Camelidae. The record is from RNAcentral.
AGCUUCACCUGGAAGGGAACCGCCUGGUUCUCACCUGCCUGGCUGAAGGGAGCUGGCUGCUGGAGUUCAAGUGGACGCACAAUGACAGUGAGCUCACCACCUACAGCAGCGAAUGUAAGUAUAUUAUUCCGUCUUUACAGAGGCUGGAUGCUGGGUUUUACCACUGUGUGGUUCAGAACAGAAUGGGAGUGCUCUUACAAAGAAGAUCAAAAGUUCACGUCGCAUAUAUGGGGAAUUUCAUGGAUACAGACCAGAGAAAAAUGGUCUCGCAAGGACAGGCAGCCGUUCUCAACCUCCUGCCCCUCGCCAGCUGCCCCAGACCUCAAGUGACUUGGUUCCAAGAAGGACACAAGAUUAUCCCAAGCAACCAAAUGUAAGUUGUUCCUGGCGUUUACAUUUAAAUACAACUCACUGCGCUUGCUGGCACCAUUUACGUGUUC